AGUGAACGCUGGCGAUAGGCCUAACACAUGCAAGUCGAACGGCAGCACAGUAAGAGCUUGCUCUUACGGGUGGCGAGUGGCGGACGGGUGAGGAAUACAUCGGAAUCUACUUUUUCGUGGGGGAUAACGUAGGGAAACUUACGCUAAUACCGCAUACGACCUACGGGUGAAAGCAGGGGAUCUUCGGACCUUGCGCGAUUGAAUGAGCCGAUGUCGGAUUAGCUAGUUGGCGGGGUAAAGGCCCACCAAGGCGACGAUCCGUAGCUGGUCUGAGAGGAUGAUCAGCCACACUGGAACUGAGACACGGUCCAGACUCCUACGGGAGGCAGCAGUGGGGACUAUUGGACAAUGGGCGCAAGCCUGAUCCAGCCAUACCGCGUGGGUGAAGAAGGCCUUCGGGUUGUAAAGCCCUUUUGUUGGGAAAGAAAAGCAGCAGGUUAAUACCCCGCUGUUCUGACGGUACCCAAAGAAUAAGCACCGGCUAACUUCGUG
RNAcentral lists this ribosomal RNA (492 nucleotides) under uncultured bacterium. RNAcentral describes it as "partial 16S ribosomal RNA". It matches the Rfam family "Bacterial small subunit ribosomal RNA", at positions 29 to 507 of the family's 1533-position model. The record is from RNAcentral.